UCAUUCUGGUUGCUUUUACACAUUCAUUCCUACCAUCUGAAUCAGAGUUGUUAUUACUGUUGGUUCCUAUCUUAACAUUUUAUUUUAUUCAGCACCUUUAAAAAAUUAAAACCCUAUCACAUUCUGAAAUCAAGCAGCUGCUUUCCUGUUUUCCUCCCAUCUGCUCUCAGUGCUAUAUGGAAUGUUUUUGUUUGAACUGUUAAUUAUACUGUUUAAUAAUGGUUUGGGCACAAUAUUUUUCUCAACAGAUUUAAAAAUAAAUAAAUAAGCAAAUUGUGUGGAAUUGUUGGUCCUUGGGGACGUAUGAGGACACGACCUCACUGGAAAUGAGAAAAAGGUGGAUCUGUGUAUGUGUGCAUUCUCCUUUAACGUAUGCCUCAAAAGAGCAUGAUGCAACCAUUCCCCCCCUUUUUAAUAAAACCCCCAGUUCAUCAUAAAUGGUACUCGUGGAAGGCUUUUUUUUUUGUCUUCAGAGGCAAUACGCAAAAGAGAUGACCUUCCAAGAGAGUAGCUCUCCUGCAGGCGAUAGAAGAUAUCAAAGCUAAAGUGGCUGAGGUGGAGCACUUUGACAGUGUGGUCAAGAAGCUGAACGCUGAGUCUCCAGGACACACAGAAAGAAAGAAUCAGAAGGCAAGAAAAGCCAUCAUAUUUAGACCUAAGAUCCAGCAGGUAAAACAGGAGCUGGGAGGAUGAGCAAGGGAGCGUUGCAGAGGGACGAGAGCAAGAAUUUGCCAGUCAGGAUGAAAAACUUCUAAUGGAAUCCAGCUUGAAAGCAAGUCAAGAGCAGCUAAGUGAGCAAAGAGCAGAAACCAUUUGCACAGACCAGUAGAAAAUCACAGACAGAGCUGAAGCCACUGAGAGAACGCAUUAUAGAUUCUCAUGAAGAAAGUAGUGAUUACAAAUCACCACAGCAUCCUUGAAUAUAAGACAGAAGAGAUGAGGAAGCAAGAUACAGUAUCCACGGGAGAGCAAAUGAUCCCUGAUGUAGUGAAAGAGAGGUCAGAAAUUAUGAAACUGGAUUGCAUGUUAUUCCAUGGCUAGCACUUCCAAGGUCUGAAAUGGUAAAUGGAAGAAUGGUUUCUUAAGAAGGGAUGCUUGGGUUCUUCAAAAUCAAAAAUUGAAGUUAUUCUUGAGGAGCGCAUAGCAAAACAGAAACAAACAACACUCUGAAUUCAAAGUUUUCUCCAGUACUGGACACAAGGCGACCUACAAUAAAUCAAAAAUAUAGCCUUGCACAGAAAACCCAUGAUAGGUGUCAGCUUCUCUUUGCUUGGGCUUUGGACACACUGUUGAGUGUAAAAAUCAAGUUAUACCUCUGUCAAAUCAUGCAAUCCAUAACAGAAAGAAGGAGAAAAGGUUUCAUUGCAAAAGGAAUUUCUUCAUCAGACUGUACACUGACAUGUACAUGCUAUGCAUGUAAGUAUGGAUUUAUAGUAUAUCCCAUUACUGGUUUGAACCAAGACAGAAUGAAUUAAAGAGUGAAUAGGAUACAUAGAUUUCUCUUGAGAAUACAGGGAUUUUGAUCCUUCUGUUUCCACAUAAUAUUACAAUAAGAAGCUUCUGUAACUUAUGGCAAUUGCAUUUUCAGUUCAUCCUAUGUGCUAAAAAAAUACAGCUCGUACUCUUAAUAAAUAGCUUUUCUGUGCUACUACCAGUUGUGUUGAUUGCACAAACUCUUUAAUUAGACACACACUUAGAUGAGAUACACAUGUUUUACAAGGUAAAAUUAGGUGACAUUUUAAACACAUUUCAGCUAACAAGAAGAACCAUGUGCAAUUGGGAAGCCAAGGAAAUUGUAUUUCAGGCAUUUCAACAAGGCUGUAACAAAGGAGCAGCAAUACAAAAUAAGUGAAUGAUUCUACUUGAUUCUUCUAUCCCCCCCCCCCCCCCCAGUCAUUUUAUCAGGGACGAAGAAUAUUUUACAAUAGUGCACGCAUGAAGGUUGUAUGCAUUCCCCAGCAUUAAAUUGUGGUAGAAAAUGAAAAACCUAAUAGCAUUUUGAUAUAUUCCAGUUAGGUUUUCCAUUAGGAGAAAAAGGUGAUAUGUUCACACCAUUUGUCAGGAAACGAAGAAAUGAAGAGAAUGUUGACAAUUUCAUUACACUCUGGUUAUGGGGUGAUCCGCAGUUACCUAUUACAAGAUAAAAAAAGCCUAUUCAGAAUAUUAUUAGUUGAAAACAUUACUGUUUAUAGUUACUUUAAGUAGUGCUGCAACUGCACAGUUGAUAUAAUGAUACAAUCCACAGAUUUCAAAAGAGAGAUUUCAUAUCACUUACAGCUUUAGCUCAUUUUUUGACUGGUAAGAAUGAUACAACAUCAAAACAAGUCCUGUACUGAUAAGACAAAGGGCUAUUUUUUUUAAAAAAAGAAAGUAACCGAUCGGUUAUUAAAAGUACCUCAGAGUGUUGCACAAUUUUUUUACCUUUAUUCAGAAAGACUGCAUUUCUGGCCAUUGGUUAAACUUCUUUAACUCUUUUGAAUCCUAACAACCCAGUUGUGUGCAGAAUUGCAGCCAAAUCCACACACACACACACCCCCACCCGCACAUGCAUGUACAUACACAUACUGGCUAUUUUAUUGACUGUACAAUUUCAACUAUUUUUUAAAUAAUAUUUCACUGGUGGCUGAUCAUUUCCAUUAACUAACUGCAUGGUCACAUUGGUUUGUUUGUUUUUCUUGUGUGCUUUCAAGUCAUUUCUGACUUAACGGAGACCCAAGGUAAACCUAUCAUGAGGUUUUCUUGGCAAGAUUUCUUUGGAGUGGGUUUGUGUUUGCCUUGACCUGAGAGAAUGUGAGUUGCUCAAGGUCACCAAGUGGGUCUUUAUGUCUGAGCAUGUCUUUCCAGGAUCAUAGUCCAACCCUCUACUAUAGAUAUCACAGGUAAUGCGUAUCUAUGAAGAAGUGAUUCUCUUUCAACUCUUUAUGGAUGCCUUUGAGGUAAGUGGGUACUGGAUAGCAGUGUUGAUGCAAACUUACCAGUCAAGCUUCUAUAGUAUAGUUGUUGUGUACAGCUAAUAACAUCCAGAGUUGGGAUACUACUACUACUACAACAACAACAACAACAACAACAACAACAACAACAACAACAACAAUCUUUUCUUAUAUUCUGCCCCCUCUCCCAAAGGACUUGGAUGGCUUACAACAAAUAAAUAUAAAACCAAGCAAGAAUAAAAUAAUACAUAAUGACAAUCAAAAAACACCACAACUAACUAAUAAUAUCAAAAUAAAAUACACAGAUUAAAUUUGGCAGGAUUUGAAACCCUCAUACUUAAUUGAAUGCAUUUUGGAUGCACAACUGAACGAACAAUCAAAUGCACAUCUACAGGUACGAUGGCAUCACUUUAGGGUUGCCCAAUUAAUCCCAUCCCACUCCUGAAAUUUCAAGGUGAAAACCUGAGAUCUGGGAAUCACACAUUGUAAUGUCACAAUGGGUAGCUCUGAUAAUGUUAUAAUGCAUAUUUUAAGAUAUUAAUACAUGCUACAUUCAUGUUAUAAAGUAUAUUGCAUUAAGAUAUCAAUUCAGGCUACAUUAAGCAUCAAUCACAUCUGCACAGUUUGCUAGUCUUUUUUUAAAAAAAACCAAAACAAAACAAAACAAACACCAUGUCUAAUGAAUAAGGAAGAUACACAUGCAAACACUCAGGCAAACACUGUUCAAGGCAAUAUUUUUCACCCUGAAAUUCCUUUUACUUGCUCUGAAGACUGGAGACGAGGUUGGAGAUCUCAGGCCCUGUGAUCAGGGAACCCUACACCAUGUGCAUAAUUGCCAAAGCUGUGAAUGGAAUGCAGAUGUUGCACUUUAUACAAAAAUAUCCACCCAUUACCAUUGGGAAAUUUAUGCACAGAAAAGACAAAAACAGAUUUCUGAUUAUAGAGUAUAAACAGGACAAAGGAUUACGUUGCAGUGCACUUUGGUAAUCUAUGACGGUUCCUAAGUAGAUAUAGGAGAUGGGUGCCUCAUGCCCAUCCAAAUGUUGCUGAGCUCCAGUUGCCCAUCGGUGUCAGUCUGCAUGGGCAGUGGAGAGGGAUGAUGGGGGCUGAAGUGAAACAGCUUAUGGAAAGCCACAGGUUUCCCACCCCUAAGACUAAGUAAGGAAGCUCCCUUGUUGGGUACUAUCUGCAAAUGCAAUUGAGUAUUGCUACGUGAAGAAAAAUUCUACACCUUCCACUCCUGGGGGAUCCUGCCAUACAGAUAUUUGAGUGCAGCCCACUGCUGGGCCUGUGGAACAGUGGAUCAGUGCUGUACUAUUCUAGUUUAAUUAAGUUUUGCUCUGAUUUCUACAGUCUCGUGUAAUGAAUAUAAAAUUACAACUUUAAAAGAAUUGGGGAGAAGGGAGCUAAGCUAUGCUUUGAUUAAAACAGUGCUCUGUGGGAUUUGUAAAGCAGAGGAUUACAUUGGGGACUUCUUACUGUACAAUAAAUACCAAAGACCUGUCCUUGCCAUGUAGGAAAAUAAAGGAAAGAAAAGCAGCAACAUUUGCUAAAGGAAAGAUUACUUGCUUCAUGCAGAAAUUUUUAAUUAAAGUCUGGGAUUCAGUUUAAAAGUGAUGGUGGUAUGUAAAGAAACUUAUGUUCAUGGCAAUGAGGGGUGGCACACAUUGGUUCUGCAAAGUACUAUUUGUGUUGAUGGUAGUAUGCAAAUAAAUCAUGAUUUUCAUAAUUUUAAUGUAUGUUGCCCCUUAGUUAUGUGUAUACUUGUAAACGUUGUUUAUCAAGUUUACACCUUCCUGUGUAAAAAGUCAUGUUUUCAAGCUCUGAGUGUAGCAUUAGCAGAUCAUUCUGGCAUUUCAGCAUCAUUUUUAAUUUUAAAAAAUAAUAAUGAGUAAGAACUUAUUUUUUUUAUUAAAUGUGUUCAUAGGCAGGUUGAAUAUCCCUUAUCUGAUUGGGACCAAAAUGUUUUGGAUUCCCUCCCAUCUCAAAUUUUGGAAUACCUGCACUGGCAUAUAUAUAAGUAAUAUCUUUGAAAUGAGACCAAAGUCUAAACACAAAAUGUACUAUGUUUCAUUUACACCCUAUACACAGAACCUGAAGGUAAUUUUAUAUGUAAAUUUUUAAAAUAAUUUUGUGCAUGAAACAGAGUGAACCAUCAGAAAGCAAAGGUGUCAUUAUCUCGGCUACUCAAGUGAACAGUUUUGGAUUUGGGAGUAUUUCAGAUUACAGAAUUUGGGAUAAAGGAUGCUCAAUUUGCAUUUGAUGACAGCUGUUUAAUGUAAUAGUGGACAGGGACACCCUUCCUCCCUCCCUUCCUUCCUUUCUUUUUUGGUUCAGCAUCAGUGUAAUUGGAAAUGAGAAUAAAUUCACAUGGCAUGUGCCAAGUAGAUCUAUGCAGCUGAGACUAUGAGAAUGAGGCUGUGGGACUGACUACAUUUUGUUUGCAUUUUGUCCAUAGAUGGUUAUGUAUGAUUUCCAGCAUGGGCCCAGACUUUAGCUGAACUGCCUUUGGUAAAUUGGUAUCAAUAACAGAUAACUUUUUGAAUAAAGGGGAAAUGCAUGCCAAGUGCAGUUGCUUUCUUAUGCCAACCUUAUUAGAGGGUUUUCUUGGCAAGGUUUAUUCAAAGGAAGUUUUCUAUUUCCUUCCUCCUAGUCUGAGAAAAGAUUAAGGGAUUUACCCAAGAUCACACAGAUGGUUUCCACAUCUGAGCAGGGAUUUGAACCCUGAUCUCCAGAAGUCCUAACCUAGGAUUCAAACCACAAUAUCACUCCAACAAAAAUAGUGGCAUGAAUUGCUCAAAGAUUGUAUCUAACAAAGCAUUUCCAGUGUAGCAAAUUUUUCCUUCAAUGUAAUUAAAUACUCCAUGCACAUACACAAAAAAUGGAUAAAUAUGCUCACAACGCCUUUGCUAUCCAUGCAGACUUGUUUAUUUUAUUCUUUGCAUCUUGAUCUUAUUUUUCUUAAGGCAAUUGGACUUUUUUAAAAGAUGGAAAUCAACUCUUCCAUAAUAUAACAACUAUGGCAUGAAUUUGCAGCAUCAGCCUAAUAAGUUUUGACAUGUUAAAUAUAGGUUACUACACCAGACCUCUGCAUUAUGAAAAGCUUCCAUGUAGUGGCUGUGGUAUAGAUGGUGCCAGUUGAAGUAGGGAUUGUAGGAUAAAACACAAGGGAUUAAUAUAGCAGGAUAGCAGCUAGAUGAACUUAAUCAAACUAGAUGGACUGAUUUAUAAACUUGAGUCUAGUUUUGUAAAGACUGAAGACCCUGAAAGAAAUCAAAUACUCUUCCUGUCCCAUAUGGACCGCACACAUCUUGUAAUGCAGAAAUGAAAUGGGCAGAGAAUUUUCCAAUCCAAUUGUUCUAUUACUGUGCCUCAACUCCAUUCUAAAAUUACCAGUGAAAAUAUAUUUUUGAAUGGAAUAUUAGGAGUCUUUUAAGGAUGGUUUGUGAGGCCAACUCCCUCUAGUUCCAUACACAGGAUGGUAUUCACUAUGUCCCUAAAUCUUGAUUGUUAUUAAAACAAUAUUAGAGGGCCAUAGAAGAGUAUCGAGACAGAAAAGCUUAGGAUUUUUAGACUACAGCUACCAGAAUUUCCCAGCCAGCAAGGCCACUGGGAAAAGUGAAAGUUAUAAACCGCUCUGAGUCCUUAUUGGAGAUAGAGCGGUAUAUAAAUAAAGUUUUUUUGUUGUUGUAAUUCAAAAAAGUAACUUUUCAAACUCUGCUCCAGUACAGUUUUUCUAUGUGGCUCCAGGGUUCAAUUUGAUCUAAAUAGGGCAGGAAUUUGCUGCAGUUGCUUCGCUGAUACAAAUAAGUUAAGUAAAACAUAUGGUUAAUGUAACAUACAAAGCAUUCAAAGCCCCCUGUGGAUUCCUGAAACCACAGAUAAAGGCGAACCCUAUAUUUUGUCUAUACUUGUGAUAGAGGCAUGCCAUAGAAUAGCAUCGAAAGACCUAAAGAACUCCAUAAACACUUCCAGGGGGUGGCCUAUUUUUUUACAGCAUGAGUAAGUGAAACCAUGGAUAUUGAGUCUGUGAAUAAGGGGAUCACGCUGUAUCUUGCAACAAUUCAUAGUAAUAUAAUUAUUUAAUUGUAGUUACCCACUGAAAUGAGAUGUUACCCACUGAUAUGGUUAUGAAUGGGCAUUGAACUGAAGUUCUAACUUAAUAAGGUGCCAAUUCUUUCCUGUUGUGCACAACAUGUUGGGACAUGGUUCACAAUAGCACAUUCAGCUCUCUCCCUUUCAGAAUAAUUUUUUCUAUGUCAAAGUGACAUUGAACACAGCCCCCCCCCACCCCCCGGUUUGGCAGAGCGUUCCACAGAUAGCCAUGGCUCUUUUAUUUUGAUGAGUUAGUUUUGCGAGAAGCGGGGAGAAGAGUGGUAAAUAAAUAAAUAAAUAAAUAAGGUUCAGAGGAGCCCAGCGCCCUGGAUACUUUCCUUGAAACAAUCUUUCCUUUUUAUUUUUAUUUUAUUGUUCUCGAACCCUUCAAUAAAUAUGCAUCUUGGUGCAUUAUUCUCUCCUUUUGACUACUUUGUAUCUCUUUCUGCCUCCUUGAGUCUAUUUCUUCCAUUUUCACCUCCCGCAGCUGGCCCCAGUGACCAUCAGGCCACAUAGCCCAUCCAGCCCCAUGGCCCUGCACAGCCCACGGAGCAGGGCUUAUUAUUUCCUUCUUCCCCACACUAACCACUCUUCAUCUCCCUGAACCCCUACACCACCUCCCUUCCCCUGUGGGUGCCCUGGUUUCCUUGAUGGGAGCCCCCAGUAUCCACGGAUUCUUAUUUUUCCCAUUUAAUGUGUAUAUAUGUUAUAUUUCUGUGUAUAAAAACAUCUUUGGAGAAGUAUGCCACUGAUCAAUACCUUUGGCUGACCUUUUGCCAGCACCUCAUGACCCAGGAAAUCCCCUCCAGCCAUUUUCCUGGGCAUCAUCUCAAUCAUAAAAGACACAAUCACCCAUCAUCUUCAGGCCAGUACUGGCCCCAUAGACCCAGCUGCACCUAGGGCAACAGGAUCAGGAAUUGGACUACCCGCCCACUUGGACAUAUCAAUGAUCACUUAUCACGCGGCAUUCUCUUCCCUGAUGUUGGGAUGGCUUGCCCCGUUCACCACAAUGCCAUCUCCCUCGUUCCCAGGAACAGACUCUAAAUCCCAUCAUUAUGGACAAUAUACUGCUUUGAAACACAAUGGACACUGGUGCAGAGUCUUCAGACUCACGCGGUCAGGGUUCAUAAAGACAAUAAUCACAAACUCAUGGUACCCGAGGUUUGUUCCAGAGUUGGGACAAUGUAAUCCCAUCAUAACACCAUGUCUUCUUUGUCUGAAGUUUCCAUCCUGCCCCCUGUCAGCCAUUGGAGAGCAGAAAUCUGCAUUGGAAGCAAAGAAUGCUCUCCUAUUGGCUGACAGGUACCACAGUCCUACCUCUGCAGGGAAUCCUCUCUGAUGUCAAUGGAGCCCAGCCAAUCACAGCAGAGCCAUCUCCAGCUGGGGUGGGAGUGGGAAUUUCAAAAAACUGUAAUGUAUAAAAUGUCUGUUUUGCAAUGUUACGGUAUCUCAGCUUACUUUGGCAGAUAACCACAAGCUGGCAUCACUUCAGCUGGCUCAGUAAAUUACCUUGGUGGCUUCUUCUUCAACUUGGUGAGAUUUUCAUUCAGGAAUAUUGGACUAGCUUCUUUGUCUUGCCAGGCAUAUGGAUUCACAGGCGGCCUGUGGCUGAUACCAGUAUCCACUUACCGGGACUCGGUAUCCAUGCUUCAGGUUUCACUACCUGCAACUCACUAUCCGCGGUUGCCUGAAAUUGCUCAAUUUCAAUAGACAUCACUAGAAAUUGUGUCAUUUUGAAGACUUUCACACAGGGACAGCCUCCAUGCUGGAGCAUUGGGGAGAAGUGACUGACCAAGUGACUGUGGGAGUCCCAUCAGAAUGCCAGAGCAUAGCCAAAGGAUGAAGAAUGAUACCAGGAAGUCUGCAAUUUUCAGUUAGGCCUCCCUCCCUCCCUCUCUCUCUCUUUCUCUCUCUCUCUCUCUCUCUCUCUCACACACACACUUAUUCCAACUCAACUACCCUGGAUCUAUCUUAUGGCAUCCUAGGAUUUAGCAGUAGAAUUCUCUUCCAGAGAAGCUUAGAGCCUCACAUAACUACAAAUAGCAGAACUCCUUGGGACGUAGCCACCAUAUAGUUCUAGAUAACCAAUUUGCACUCUCCCUUUCGCCAAAAAACACAGGCUGGGAGUUUGGGUAGUUUGACAACCUCAAAAUUUUUGACCAGCUUUCCAUUUUCCUGUUUUUCCAGGCUAGUGAAAUUUUUUUCCCCUCACAGUCUGCACCAGUCAUGUUAGCUCUUGUCAUUGGUACAAAAUGUUGAAAUUGCGUCCUUAUAAUUAACACUCUGAACAACAGCCUUCUAAGUAUUGCAUGAUUGCCAAACAGGAAAAAUACCUACAAAUAAUUAUAUGUGGAGAAUCUCAGAAGUUAAAUUAUUCACAAUAUUUAAUUACUUUAAUUAAAGUUCAUACUCUGUAUGUGUGCUUUUAUAAAUAAACACUUGAAGCAGUUCUAGCUUCUCCAACUUUCCUAGGUCCCUAGGAUUGUCAGUUAAAAAUAUUGCACGAGAAAUUAAAUUCCCUGAUCUUUCUUUUCCAUCUUUCUUGCUUAAACUGCUAGUGAACAACAACUUCAUUAUUCAGAUUAGUAUUGUCCCCAUACAAUAUAGCAUGUUAUCACAUCUCAGAGGUUCCUCUUGCCCCAUAGAAUAUUUCAUUUCACUGUGUUCCUUUUGAGGAAUUCAGCCUAUGGAAAUUGUAUACAUUAUUGCAUUCAGUGUUUAGAUCAACAUAAACCUCAUAUGUAGCAUUUCUUCCUAAAUAUACAAACAAUAUAUAGAAAUUUCAUAUAUAGAGUCAGAACACAUCUAUCUGGAGUAGCACUGUUUAAUACAGGGGUCCUCAAACUUUUGAAGUGGAGGGCCAGUUUAUGGUCCCUCAGACUCUUGAGGGGCCGAAUUAUCAUUUGAAAAAAAUACGAACAAAUUCCUAUGCACACUGCACAUGUCUUACUUGUAGUGCAAAAAAACCCACAACAACAAUUAUUUAUUUAUUUUAUUUACUACAUUUAUAUCCCACCCUCUCUCAUCCCGAAGGGGAGUCAGAGCGGCUUACAAGUUGUAUGUACAUACAAUAUAUUAUAUUAUUAGCAUAGCACAAUAUUAGCAUUAUAUAUUACUAUAUUG
Long non-coding RNA from Anolis carolinensis (green anole), 10148 nucleotides. RefSeq lists it as uncharacterized. Lineage: Eukaryota; Metazoa; Chordata; Lepidosauria; Squamata; Anolidae. The transcript is spliced from 6 exons. The record is from RefSeq and is a predicted model, not a curated record.